UUAAGCGACUAAGCGUACACGGUGGAUGCCCUGGCAGUCAGAGGCGAUGAAGGACGUGCUAAUCUGCGAAAAGCGUCGGUAAGGUGAUAUGAACCGUUAUAACCGGCGAUGUCCGAAUGGGGAAACCCAGUGUGAUUCGUCACACUAUCGUUAACUGAAUACAUAGGUUAACGAGGCGAACCGGGGGAACUGAAACAUCUAAGUACCCCGAGGAAAAGAAAUCAACCGAGAUUCCCCCAGUAGCGGCGAGCGAACGGGGAGCAGCCCAGAGUCUGAAUCAGCUUGUGUGUUAGUGGAACGGUCUGGAAAGUCCGACGGUACAGGGUGAUAGUCCCGUACACCAAAAUGCACAGGUUGUGAACUCGAAGAGUAGGGCGGGACACGUGGUAUCCUGUCUGAAUAUGGGGGGACCAUCCUCCAAGGCUAAAUACUCCUGACUGACCGAUAGUGAACCAGUACCGUGAGGGAAAGGCGAAAAGAACCCCGGCGAGGGGAGUGAAAAAGAACCUGAAACCGUGUACGUACAAGCAGUGGGAGCACCUUCGGGUGUGACUGCGUACCUUUUGUAUAAUGGGUCAGCGACUUAUAUUCUGUAGCAAGGUUAACCGUAUAGGGGAGCCGCAGGGAAACCGAGUCUUAACUGGGCGUUAAGUUGCAGGGUAUAGACCCGAAACCCGGUGAUCUAGCCAUGGGCAGGUUGAAGGUUGGGUAACACUAACUGGAGGACCGAACCGACUAAUGUUGAAAAAUUAGCGGAUGACUUGUGGCUGGGGGUGAAAGGCCAAUCAAACCGGGAGAUAGCUGGUUCUCCCCGAAAGCUAUUUAGGUAGCGCCUCGUGAAUUCAUCUUCGGGGGUAGAGCACUGUUUCGGCUAGGGGGUCAUCCCGACUUACCAACCCGAUGCAAACUACGAAUACCGAAGAAUGUUAUCACGGGAGACACACGGCGGGUGCUAACGUCCGUCGUGAAGAGGGAAACAACCCAGACCGCCAGCUAAGGUCCCAAAGUCAUGGUUAAGUGGGAAACGAUGUGGGAAGGCACAGACAGCCAGGAUGUUGGCUUAGAAGCAGCCAUCAUUUAAAGAAAGCGUAAUAGCUCACUGGUCGAGUCGGCCUGCGCGGAAGAUGUAACGGGGCUAAACCAUGCACCGAAGCUGCGGCAGCGACACUAUGUGUUGUUGGGUAGGGGAGCGUUCUGUAAGCCUGCGAAGGUGACCUGUGAGGGUUGCUGGAGGUAUCAGAAGUGCGAAUGCUGACAUAAGUAACGAUAAAGCGGGUGAAAAGCCCGCUCGCCGGAAGACCAAGGGUUCCUGUCCAACGUUAAUCGGGGCAGGGUGAGUCGACCCCUAAGGCGAGGCCGAAAGGCGUAGUCGAUGGGAAACAGGUUAAUAUUCCUGUACUUGGUGUUACUGCGAAGGGGGGACGGAGAAGGCUAUGUUAGCCGGGCGACGGUUGUCCCGGUUUAAGCAUGUAGGCUGGUUGUCCAGGCAAAUCCGGAUAAUCAAGGCUGAGGUGUGAUGACGAGGCACUACGGUGCUGAAGUAACAAAUGCCCUGCUUCCAGGAAAAGCCUCUAAGCAUCAGGUAACAUCAAAUCGUACCCCAAACCGACACAGGUGGUCAGGUAGAGAAUACCAAGGCGCUUGAGAGAACUCGGGUGAAGGAACUAGGCAAAAUGGUGCCGUAACUUCGGGAGAAGGCACGCUGGUGUGUAGGUGAAGUCCCUGCGGAUGGAGCUGAGACCAGUCGAAGAUACCAGCUGGCUGCAACUGUUUAUUAAAAACACAGCACUGUGCAAACACGAAAGUGGACGUAUACGGUGUGACGCCUGCCCGGUGCCGGAAGGUUAAUUGAUGGGGUUAUCCGUAAGGAGAAGCUCUUGAUCGAAGCCCCGGUAAACGGCGGCCGUAACUAUAACGGUCCUAAGGUAGCGAAAUUCCUUGUCGGGUAAGUUCCGACCUGCACGAAUGGCGUAAUGAUGGCCAGGCUGUCUCCACCCGAGACUCAGUGAAAUUGAACUCGCUGUGAAGAUGCAGUGUACCCGCGGCAAGACGGAAAGACCCCGUGAACCUUUACUAUAGCUUGACACUGAACAUUGAGCCUUGAUGUGUAGGAUAGGUGGGAGGCUUUGAAGCGUGGACGCCAGUCUGCGUGGAGCCAACCUUGAAAUACCACCCUUUAAUGUUUGAUGUUCUAACGUUGGCCCCUGACCGGGGUUGCGGACAGUGUCUGGUGGGUAGUUUGACUGGGGCGGUCUCCUCCCAAAGCGUAACGGAGGAGCACGAAGGUUAGCUAAUCCUGGUCGGACAUCAGGAGGUUAGUGCAAUGGCAUAAGCUAGCUUGACUGCGAGCGUGACGGCGCGAGCAGGUGCGAAAGCAGGUCAUAGUGAUCCGGUGGUUCUGAAUGGAAGGGCCAUCGCUCAACGGAUAAAAGGUACUCCGGGGAUAACAGGCUGAUACCGCCCAAGAGUUCAUAUCGACGGCGGUGUUUGGCACCUCGAUGUCGGCUCAUCACAUCCUGGGGCUGAAGUAGGUCCCAAGGGUAUGGCUGUUCGCCAUUUAAAGUGGUACGCGAGCUGGGUUUAGAACGUCGUGAGACAGUUCGGUCCCUAUCUGCCGUGGGCGCUGGAGAAUUGAGGGGGGCUGCUCCUAGUACGAGAGGACCGGAGUGGACGCAUCACUGGUGUUCGGGUUGUCAUGCCAAUGGCACUGCCCGGUAGCUAAAUGCGGAAGAGAUAAGUGCUGAAAGCAUCUAAGCACGAAACUUGCCCCGAGAUGAGUUCUCCCUGAGACUAUAAGUCUCCUGAAGGAACGUUAAAGACGAUGACGUUGAUAGGCCGGGUGUGUAAGCGCAGCGAUGCGUUGAGCUAACCGGUACUAAUGAACCGUGAGGCUUAACCUU
RNAcentral lists this ribosomal RNA (2900 nucleotides) under Klebsiella pneumoniae. Its description in RNAcentral is "bacterial LSU rRNA". It matches the Rfam family "Bacterial large subunit ribosomal RNA". Lineage: Bacteria; Pseudomonadati; Pseudomonadota; Gammaproteobacteria; Enterobacterales; Enterobacteriaceae. The record is from RNAcentral.